AUACCAUUUAAAUUCAUAGUAAUAUAAUUUUGAUCUUUGUUUAGCUUCUUAUUUUUCCAUGUGCAUUAUAUCAAAUCUGUUUAAUGAAGAUAGAAUGUGACCUAUACCAAAGAAAUUUGCUAAAUGCUAUGGUAGUACAUAGAAAGGAGAGAUAACUGCUGGCCAUGGGAAUUAAGAAAGGACUCAUGCAACAGACAGUGUUUUAGGUUUGACCUCAAAAAUGACUAGAGUCUGGAUAUAAAAGCAAGGGAUAAGAAAGCAUUCCAGAUAGAGCUUCCUUCACAAACAAAGAUGAAAAGACAGACAAGAAAACAUGAGUGGGAUUGGGGAAAUAAUAAAUAGGCUGAUUUGCGUACAGAGUAAUAAUGGGCGAUAAGGCUAGAAAAGAAGAGGAAGUUUAACAAUAUGUUGAUGCCAUAGAUUCAAGUAAACAGAUCUGAUCUUGAUCCAUUCCUUAAUAACCACUCUCCAUGAUUUUUCAUCCUAAUCAGAAUAAAAUUCAAUCUACUUAACCCAAUCUAAAAGGUGAUCUGAAUUUGUCUAACCUGGUCUUUCUCAUUCUCUGCUCCUCUGACCACUGAGCUACAACUACACUAGUCAUCUUUGCUUCUCAAGCAGCCACACUUGUUCCUGGCCAGAACCUUUGCAUUACCUGUGAUGGUCUUUCCUCUGAUUCUCUUGGUUGGCUAUUUUUGCCACUAGUUGUGGGUUACUUCUUCAUCUCCUGAUCAAUUUGAAACAGCCAUUUAAACAUAGCAUGUAUAAAUAUGCAUUUCGGAGGAAAAAAGGACAAUGGAGUCAGUUUAAUCAGUAAAUAUUUGUCAAGCAUUUGCUAUGUUCCAGAUGUGCAGUAUACACAAAAGACAAAGACAGAUGAAAUGUUGUACUUUUUUUUUUUUUCCUGUCUCUGGUUUUAUUUAUACAAAUAGCCCAGGAGGACACCAGUCUCCUGUAGACAGGGGCCUAGGGGUCACACCAGUCCUUCUGUGCUCGCAUUUCCAGACAGAGGCUUUUUACUACGGAGCUUUCACAAAGAUCUGGGCACCCUUGCGGGUCUGGGCACCUUUGGGAGCAGGAGCAGGAGCUAGAGUUGAUAAUGGAGCUGGAGUUGCAGCCUGGGUCUUGGCUUGGGCUUGGGCUUUGGCCUUUGGCUGGUAGAGCCUAUGACCCCUGGGAUGGGCAAGAAAGGC
RNAcentral lists this long non-coding RNA (1190 nucleotides) under Marmota monax (woodchuck). The record is from RNAcentral. Lineage: Eukaryota; Metazoa; Chordata; Mammalia; Rodentia; Sciuridae.